GUGCUCAGUUCAAAGCACAUAUACUAAAAUUGGAACAGUACGGAGAUUAGCAUGGCCUCUGCACAAGGAUGACACGCAAAUUUGUGGAACAUUCCAUAUUUUU
Small nuclear RNA from Gorilla gorilla gorilla (western lowland gorilla), 103 nucleotides. NCBI's taxonomy places the organism in Eukaryota, Metazoa, Chordata, Mammalia, Primates, Hominidae. The record is from Ensembl.